This 455-nucleotide long non-coding RNA is filed under the name Phasianus colchicus (ring-necked pheasant). RNAcentral's name for it is "lncRNA (ENSPCLG00000002453.1)". The record is from RNAcentral. Lineage: Eukaryota; Metazoa; Chordata; Aves; Galliformes; Phasianidae.
AGAAUUCUGGUGAAAAGGUUCAAUCUGUACUGCCGUAUCACCAACAUCUGUCUUGAGGUGGUGAGCCAACAUGAUAAAAUGAGAAGCAUUACUUUCAGAGCAGCUUUCUUAGUAUCUCCAAUACUGUGUUAAAUGCAAGUUUAAACUUGCAGUACACUUACAGCAGGCUAGUUGGCAUGGGAGAAAGAAGACAGGAGCUCCUGAAAUUGCUGCGGAGACCGGCUUCAGAGCAGAAUUUAAUGAUGAGAUUCCCAAAUUUUCAAGAGCACCAGAAGAGUUCCACAGAGCCACAUAAGUGGCAUUUAAAUAACAUCUUCCUCAAGUAUGAGCAAGGGGAAAGAAGAAAACUGAUAACAAAGAAGUUACAACAGAAAAACAGCAAAGUGACUUUCUUGCUUCCAAACCUAGUGCUGUACCUAGAAAAAGGAUCAACGACAAGCUGUGACUCUGCAUAA